Molecule: ribosomal RNA, 253 nt
Filed under: uncultured bacterium
Lineage: Bacteria
Description: partial 16S ribosomal RNA
Rfam family: Bacterial small subunit ribosomal RNA
Source: RNAcentral
GACAGAGGUGCCGAGCGUUAGGCGGAAUCACUGGGCUUAAAGCGUGUGUAGGCGGGGCGUUAAGUGUCUUGUGAAAUCCCACCGCUCAACGGUGGAACUGCUGGGCAUACUGGCGAUCUUGAGCCACCUAGGGGCAGACGGAACAAGCGGUGGAGCGGUGAAAUGCGUAGAUAUCGCUUGGAACGCCGACGGUGAAAACAGUCUGCUGGGGGUGUGCUGACGCUGAGACACGAAAGCCAGGGGAGCAAACGGG